UUCUAUCUUUUUGGGUUGCAUGCCCAAGGCAAUGCUUUUUGUAGAUAGAUUGAGAUGGAUUGAUCUUCGCUAUCGUGCCUCCUCCUUGUACCAGUUGAUGCUGGGGCAGUGCUUAAUAUGAGUUUUCUCCUGCCCCAGACAGCUUCGAGGUUCCCAUCGAUUACAGAGGUUUCUACCCGUCGCCUAAGUUUGUCAUAUCUUUGAUCGAGUGCUAUUUCUAUAAAUAAGAUUGAGUAGGAAAAUGUUGAAUUGGCUUCAAUCGAGAUUGCCUCGGCUUCUUAGGCACAUGAGGAAGCGGCCUAACAUCUUUUCAAUCGAAAUCCCAAUCAAAGACAAGUUCUACCAAGGCCAGGAUCUGAAAGAGAGGAUUCACUUUCCGAAAUUCCAAGUGACAUGAUUCCUCCUUCAGAAGCUAAAGUUGAAUGAUCGAAGUCUCCUUUAGGUUCAGUCGAAGAGAUCGAAGCGAAGUCAUCAAUUCAACCAUUCGAAUGGUCUCCCCUAAGAUUGACCUCUUUUCCAAAUAAACCGAACCUCGAUACCACAUU
RNAcentral lists this long non-coding RNA (545 nucleotides) under Solanum pimpinellifolium. RNAcentral's name for it is "long non-coding RNA (SPIM_LNC000018)". Lineage: Eukaryota; Viridiplantae; Streptophyta; Magnoliopsida; Solanales; Solanaceae. The record is from RNAcentral.